CCCAGACUCCUACGGGAGGCAGCAGUGGGGAAUAUUGCACAAUGGGGGGAACCCUGAUGCAGCGACGCCGCGUGGGUGAAGGAGCGUUUCGGCGCGUAAAGCCCUAUCGGCAGGGAAGAAGGAGGACGGUACCUGACUAAGAAGCCCCGGCUAACUACGUGCCAGCAGCCGCGGUAAUACGUAGGGGGCAAGCGUUAUCCGGAUUUACUGGGUGUAAAGGGGGCGCAGACGGCAGCGCAAGCCAGGAGUGAAAGCCCGGGGCCCAACCCCGGGACUGCUCUUGGAACUGCGCGGCUGGAGUGCAGGAGGGGCAGGCGGAAUUCCUGGUGUAGCGGUGAAAUGCGUAGAUAUCAGGAGGAACACCGGUGGCGAAGGCGGCCUGCUGGACUGCGACUGACGUUGAGGCCCGAAAGCGUGGGGAGCAAACAGGAUUAGAUACCCGCGUAAUC
This 449-nucleotide ribosomal RNA is filed under the name uncultured bacterium. RNAcentral's name for it is "partial 16S ribosomal RNA". It matches the Rfam family "Bacterial small subunit ribosomal RNA", at positions 330 to 795 of the family's 1533-position model. The record is from RNAcentral.